This 252-nucleotide ribosomal RNA is filed under the name uncultured bacterium. Its description in RNAcentral is "partial 16S ribosomal RNA". It matches the Rfam family "Bacterial small subunit ribosomal RNA", at positions 526 to 779 of the family's 1533-position model. The record is from RNAcentral.
CGGAGGAUCCGAGCGUUAUCCGGAUUUAUUGGGUUUAAAGGGUGCGUAGGCGGCACUUUAAGUCAGGGGUGAAGACGGCAGCUCAACUGUCGCAGUGCCCUUGAUACUGAAGUGCUUGAAUGCGGUUGAAGACGGCGGAAUGAGACAAGUAGCGGUGAAAUGCAUAGAUAUGUCUCAGAACACCGAUUGCGAAGGCAGCUGUCUAAGCCGUUAUUGACGCUGAUGCACGAAAGCGUGGGAUCGAACAGGAUU